AUACGGAGGGGGCAAGCGUUAUUCGGAAUUAUUGGGCGUAAAGGGCGCGCAGGCGGCCUGGCAAGUCAAAGGUGAAAUCCCUCGGCCCAACCGAGGAACUGCCUUUGAAACUGCCUGGCUUGAGGCCGGGAGAGGGUAGUGGAAUUCCCAGUGUAGCGGUGAAAUGCGUAGAUAUUGGGAGGAACACCAGUGGCGAAGGCGACUACCUGGACCGGUUCUGACGCUGAGGCGCGAAAGCGUGGGGAGCAAACAGGAUUAGAAACCCCAGUAGUCC
RNAcentral lists this ribosomal RNA (274 nucleotides) under uncultured bacterium. Its description in RNAcentral is "partial 16S ribosomal RNA". It matches the Rfam family "Bacterial small subunit ribosomal RNA", at positions 523 to 796 of the family's 1533-position model. The record is from RNAcentral.